UGGGGAAUUUUGGACAAUGGGCGAAAGCCUGAUCCAGCAAUGCCGCGUGUGUGAAGAAGGCCUUCGGGUUGUAAAGCACUUUUGUCCGGAAAGAAAUCCUUGGCUCUAAUACAGUCGGGGGAUGACGGUACCGGAAGAAUAAGCACCGGCUAACUACGUGCCAGCAGCCGCGGUAAUACGUAGGGUGCAAGCGUUAAUCGGAAUUACUGGGCGUAAAGCGUGCGCAGGCGGUUUGCUAAGACCGAUGUGAAAUCCCCGGGCUCAACCUGGGAACUGCAUUGGUGACUGGCAGGCUAGAGUAUGGCAGAGGGGGGUAGAAUUCCACGUGUAGCAGUGAAAUGCGUAGAGAUGUGGAGGAAUACCGAUGGCGAAGGCAGCCCCCUGGGCCAAUACUGACGCUCAUGCACGAAAGCGUGGGGAGCAAACAGGAUUAGAUACCCUGGUAGUCCACGCCCUAAACGAUGUCAACUAGUUGUUGGGGAUUCAUUCCUUAGUAACGUAGCUAACGCGUGAAGUUGACCGCCUGGGGAGUACGGUCGCAAGAUUAAAACUUAAU
This 556-nucleotide ribosomal RNA is filed under the name uncultured bacterium. RNAcentral describes it as "partial 16S ribosomal RNA". It matches the Rfam family "Bacterial small subunit ribosomal RNA", at positions 355 to 905 of the family's 1533-position model. The record is from RNAcentral.